GAAUAAGUACUCAAGUGCACACGGGGGAUGCCUAGGCAUCAGUCGGCGAUGAAGGACGUGAUAAGCUGCGAUAAGCUUCGGCGAGGUGCAAAUAGCCUUUGACCCGGAGAUUUCCGAAUGGGAAAACCCAGUGGACUAUGUCCAUUAUCCUAAACUGAACACAUAGGUUUAAGGAGGCGAACGCGGAGAAUUGAAACAUCUUAGUACCCGUAGGAAAAGAAAUCAACCGAGAUUCCCCUAGUAGCGGCGAGCGAACGGGGAACAGCCCUUAAGCUGUAAAUUAGUUAGCAGAAUCGUUCUGGAAAGAACAACCGCAGAUGGUAAUAGUCCAGUAUGCGAAAGCUGUUUACAGUGAAAUCGAGUAGGGCGGGGCACGAGAAACCCUGUCUGAACAUGGGAGGACCACCUUCCAAGGCUAAAUACGAACUGAUGACCGAUAGUGAAGUAGUACCGUGAGGGAAAGGUGAAAAGUACCCCGGAAGGGGAGUUAAAAGUACCUGAAACCGUGUGCAUACAAGCGGUCGGAGGGGUCUUCGGACUCUGACGGCGUGCCUUUUGUUUAAUGAGCCAGCGAGUUGCUCGUCUUUAGCAAGCUUAAAGUCUUCAGGACUGUAGGCGUAGCGAAAGCAAGUCUUAAUAGGGCGUAUAGUUGAAGGCGGCAGACACGAAGCCUUGUGAUCUAGCCAUGACCAGGUUGAAGCUGCAGUAACAUGCAGUGGAGGACCGAACCAGUAAACGUUGAAAAGUUUUUUGUUUUUUUUUGGCUAGGGGUGAAAGGCCAAUCAAACUGGGCGAUAGCUUGUUCUCUCCGAAAUAUAUUUAGGUAUAGCGUCAUAAUAAUCUACAGGGGGUAGAGCACUGAAUGGACUAGGGGGCAUACCCGCUUACCAAACCCAAGUAAACUCCGAAUACCUGUUAGAUGUUUUAUGGCAGUCAGCCCGUGGGAGAAAGUUUCACGGACGAAAGGGGAACAACCCGGACCACCAGCUAAGUGUCCCAAAGUGUAUGCUAAGUGGGAAAGGAGGUGGGGAUACUCAGACAACCAGGAGGUUAGCUUAGAAGCAGCUAUCCUUUAAAGAAAGCGUAAUAGCUCACUGGUCAAGUGUCCCUGCGCCGAAAAUUUGCGGGACUAAGCAUACCACCGAAGCUGUGGAUUUAAUUUAUUAAAUGGUAGGAGAGCGUUCUGUAAGCCGCAGAAGCCGUGUCGCGAGAGACGGUGGAGGUAUCAGAAAUGAGAAUGCUGGCAUGAGUAGCGAAAAAGAGGGCGAGAAACCCUCUCACCGUAAGCCCAAGGUUUCCUAAGUAAAGCUAAUCUGCUUAGGGUUAGCCGACCCCUAAGGCGAGGCCGAAUGGCGUAGUCGAUGGGAAGCAGUUUAAUAUUACUGCGCUUGAUUCAAAUUGUUUGACCGAUGGAGUGACGCAGGCACUAAGGCGAUCGCACGGAUGGAAGUGUGCGUUUACGGAUGUAGGUUGUGGGGUAGGCAAAUCCGCCCCGCGUGUAACCGAGAUCUGGACCGAAGCAAUCUACUUGUAGAGAGUGAAGUCGCUGAACGACUGCCAAGAAAUAGCUUCUAAGGGAAAUUUGAAUCAAAUCGUACCGCAAACCGACACAGGUGGGCGAGGCGAGUAGCCUCAGGUGCUCGAGAUAACCGUGGAGAAGGAACUCGGCAAAUUGACUCUGUAACUUCGGGAUAAAGAGUGCCCUCUAAUGUGAUGAGUACAUCUAAGCAUAGGGGGGCCGCAGUGAAUAGGCCCAAGCGACUGUUUACCAAAAACACAGGACAAUGCUAACUCGCAAGAGGACGUAUAUUGUCUGACACGUGCCCGGUGCUGGAAGGUUAACAGGAGGCGUUAUCGCAAGAGAAGCGCUGAAUCGAAGCCCCAGUAAACGGCGGCCGUAACUAUAACGGUCCUAAGGUAGCGAAAUUCCUUGUCGGGUAAGUUCCGACCUGCACGAAUCGUGUAACGAUUUGGGCGCUGUCUCCUCCGCGGACUCGGUGAAAUUGCAGUAUCGGUGAAGAUGCCGAUUACCCGCACCAGGACAGAAAGACCCCAUGAACCUUUACUGUAUCUUGACAUUGGUUUUAGGCAUUGUAUGUGUAGGAUAGGUGGGAGGCUAUGAAGCGGUAUCGCUAGAUAUCGUGGAGCCAUCCUUGAAAUACCACCCUUAUAAUGUUUGAAAUCUAACCAUGGCCCCUGAAGCGGGGUCUGGGACAAUGUCUGGUGGUCAGUUUGACUGGGGCGGUCGCCUCCUAAAAAGUAACGGAGGCAUCCAAAGGUUCCCUCAGAGCGGUCGGUAAUCGCUCGAAGAGUAUAAAGGCAUAAGGGAGCUUUACUGUGAGAGAGGCAUCUCGAGCAGUUGCGAAAGCAGGGCUUAGUGAUCCCGCGGUAUAGCGUGGAAUUGCCGUUGCUCACUGGAUAAAAGGUACUCUGGGGAUAACAGGCUGAUCUCCCCCAAGCGUCCACAGCGACGGGGAGGUUUGGCACCUCGAUGUCGGCUCGUCGCAUCCUGGGGCUGGAGAAGGUCCCAAGGGUUUGGCUGUUCGCCAAUUAAA
RNAcentral lists this ribosomal RNA (2555 nucleotides) under Ketobacter sp. RNAcentral's name for it is "partial 23S ribosomal RNA". It matches the Rfam family "Bacterial large subunit ribosomal RNA", at positions 1 to 2592 of the family's 2925-position model. Lineage: Bacteria; Pseudomonadati; Pseudomonadota; Gammaproteobacteria; Pseudomonadales; Ketobacteraceae. The record is from RNAcentral.